UUCAUCAGAGUAUUCUCGAAAAAGUUUCACAACCAAAAAGCAAAGAAAAAAAAGCAUCCAACAACUGAGAGAAUAAUGAGGCCAUCCAUCCUCAGAUCCAUUUACUCCUCCGUCUCCCGCAGCCGCUCUCACCUACUCUGUCAUGGCUAUUCUACCUAACCGGUCCCAGAACGCAAGUUGGCCAUCCUCGGCACUGCCGGCGGGAUCGGCUUUCCCCUCUCUCUUCUGAUGAAGCUCAACCCUCUUGUUUCGACCCUAUCUCUUUACGAUAUCGUUGGAACCCCUGGUGUUGCCGCUGAUGUUAGCCACAAUAACUUCAGAUCUGAGGUUUCUGGGUAUGCUGGUGAGGAAGAGCUCGGUAAAGCCCACAUGUACCGGUGACAAAUUUUCUUGGUGAUGAAGACAAUGGCAGAAGAAUUUUGAGAAACUUUGGUGAUGAAGACCAAUUUAAUAAAUUAAGUAUAGAGGAGCAGGAACGUUUUGAUGGUGUUGGACAACUGUGGAAUACUAUUCUCAACAAAGUGAAUACUUUUGAAAGCAUUGACAAACGAAAUACUUCAAAAUCAAUUCACAUCUCUAGAUUUCAUUUUGCCCCUUCCAAAAUGAAAACAAAACAUACACUUACUUUAGACAUGGCCCUUGUUAACAUGAUAAGCAACCCUGUGAAAAAAUGGAAGUUGUCGAUGCAAGCGGAAAAGGAAGUUGUUCAGUUGGCAUUACAAAAAAUGCUACAUGGCUUAUAAAUGGUUUGGAUAUUUUUGUAUGGUUUCACUUGUUUUGUUAUUGUUGUAGUAGUCCAUCGUGUGUAACCUUUCUUAUAAUUUUGUAGA
Long non-coding RNA from Vicia villosa (hairy vetch), 830 nucleotides. RefSeq lists it as uncharacterized. The record is from RefSeq and is a predicted model, not a curated record. The transcript is spliced from 5 exons. Lineage: Eukaryota; Viridiplantae; Streptophyta; Magnoliopsida; Fabales; Fabaceae.